GAUGAAGAACGUAGCGAAAUGCGAUAAGUAAUGCGAAUUGCAGAAUUUCCGUGAGUCAUCGAAUCUUUGAACGCACAUUGCGCCCACUGGUAUUCCGGUGGGCAUGCCUGUUCGAGCGUCAUUUCACCACUCAAGCCUGGCUUGGUGUUGGGCGACGUCCUCUUUGGGGACGCGCCUCGAAACGCUCGGCGGCGUGGCACCGGCUUUAAGCGUAGCAGAAUCUUUCGCUUUGGAAGUCGGGGCCCCGUCUGCCGGAAGACCUGCUCGCAAGGUUGACCUCGGAUCAGGCAGGGAUACCCGCUGAACUUAAGCAUAUCAAUAAGCGGAGGA
RNAcentral lists this unclassified non-coding RNA (330 nucleotides) under soil metagenome. RNAcentral's name for it is "partial contains 5.8S ribosomal RNA, internal transcribed spacer 2, and large subunit ribosomal RNA". The stretch from base 1 to 121 matches the Rfam family "5.8S ribosomal RNA", at positions 35 to 154 of the family's 154-position model. The record is from RNAcentral.